RNAcentral lists this transfer RNA (73 nucleotides) under Monodelphis domestica (gray short-tailed opossum). It matches the Rfam family "tRNA". Rfam says of the family: Transfer RNA (tRNA) molecules are approximately 80 nucleotides in length. Their secondary structure includes four short double-helical elements and three loops (D, anti-codon, and T loops). The record is from Rfam by way of RNAcentral. Lineage: Eukaryota; Metazoa; Chordata; Mammalia; Didelphimorphia; Didelphidae.
GUCCUGAUGGCCUAAUGGAUAAGGCACUAGCCUCAUAAGCCAGAGAUUGUAGGUUCGAGCCCCACCUGGGAAA